GAGUUUGAUCAUGGCUCAGAACGAACGCUGGCGGCAGGCUUAACACAUGCAAGUCGAACGGGCGUAGCAAUACGUCAGUGGCAGACGGGUGAGUAACACGUGGGAACCUUCCUCGUAGUACGGAACAACUCAGGGAAACUUGAGCUAAUACCGUAUACGUCCGAGAGGAGAAAGAUUUAUCGCUAUGAGACGGGCCCGCGUCCGAUUAGGUAGUUGGUGGGGUAACGGCCUACCAAGCCGACGAUCGGUAGCUGAUCUGAGAGGAUGAUCAGCCACACUGGGACUGAGACACGGCCCAGACUCCUACGGGAGGCAGCAGUGGGGAAUCUUGGACAACGGGCGCAAGCCUGAUCCAGCCAUGCCGCGUGAGUGAAGAAGGCCUUAGGGUUGUAAAGCUCUUUUGCCAGGGACGAUAAUGACGGUACCUGGAGAAUAAGCCCCGGCAAACUUCGUGCCAGCAGCCGCAGU
RNAcentral lists this ribosomal RNA (468 nucleotides) under uncultured Alphaproteobacteria bacterium. RNAcentral describes it as "bacterial SSU rRNA". It matches the Rfam family "Bacterial small subunit ribosomal RNA", at positions 9 to 521 of the family's 1533-position model. Lineage: Bacteria; Pseudomonadati; Pseudomonadota; Alphaproteobacteria. The record is from RNAcentral.